Molecule: long non-coding RNA, 933 nt
Organism: Magnolia sinica
Lineage: Eukaryota; Viridiplantae; Streptophyta; Magnoliopsida; Magnoliales; Magnoliaceae
Exons: 5
Source: RefSeq, a predicted model, not a curated record
UAAAAUAAUAUUCUGGGAAUGCAAUCCCUAUUUCACACCACAUCUUUCAGGAGUGAUUAGUGUUUCAUUUUGUUUAUAUGUAAAAUUGGAAAUUCUCCCCAGCAAUAUCUGAUUGUGACAUUCCAUUCAAUCAAUAUUUGAUGCUGACAUUCAUCAAUUUCAGGUUAAUGAAUUCAUAGAAUUACCCCAACUUUAUUAUGCUGGCAGUCAUGGAAUGGACAUAAUGGGCUCAGUCACACACUUUGUGUCUAUUAGUAACCAUCUAAAUUCUAUUAGAUCUACUGACAACAUGGGUAAGGAGGUUAAUCUAUUCCAACUUGCUAGCGAAUUUAUACCCAUGAUCAAUGAGGUUUUUUGUUCCCUCAUUGAGGAGACGAAAGGAAUAGAAGGCACAAAGGUUGAGAACAAUAAGUUUUGCGUCUCUGUACAUUAACAACUUAUAGGUGAGAAUAACUGGACUAUUGUUGCACAAUGUGUCCAUGACAUCCUAAAAGACUAUCCACGCCUACAACUAACACACGGACGAGAGGUAAUAUCUAAAGUCGUGAUUGGUGAUCUUUUCAUCCUCCCUUUGGGAACUUUCACCUAUUUUCUUUCUAUGAUGAUCGUAAUUGGGCCUAGUCCCAUCUUUUUCUUGUUGAUUGUAAUUGGGCCUUCACCUGUUCUUGAUUGGUAAUAAAAUCUACUCACCUUCCUUUUUUUGUGGUUCUUUGGAAUUGAUAAUCCAUUUUUAUUUUUGACAAGCAAUGGAAAUUUUUAUUCAAGGAGAAAAUCAAAAUACAAGGUUAAUACAGAUCCAAACACAAGAGUAUGUGUAAAAUUGCAGAGGAAUCCAUUCCUUUAUCUGCUGAGAACAUAGCACUAGCCAUUGGUGCACUGUGUAUGGUACGAAACUCAAUAUUCUGUUGUUCUGUCAUGUUCUACCCUAAAAUA